This 492-nucleotide ribosomal RNA is filed under the name uncultured bacterium. Its description in RNAcentral is "partial 16S ribosomal RNA". It matches the Rfam family "Bacterial small subunit ribosomal RNA", at positions 29 to 507 of the family's 1533-position model. The record is from RNAcentral.
AGUGAACGCUGGCGGUAGGCCUAACACAUGCAAGUCGAACGGCAGCACAGUAAGAGCUUGCUCUUACGGGUGGCGAGUGGCGGACGGGUGAGGAAUACAUCGGAAUCUACUUUUUCGUGGGGGAUAACGUAGGGAAACUUACGCUAAUACCGCAUACGACCUACGGGUGAAAGCAGGGGAUCUUCGGACCUUGCGCGAUUGAAUGAGCCGAUGUCGGAUUAGCUAGUUGGCGGGGUAAAGGCCCACCAAGGCGACGGUCCGUAGCUGGUCUGAGAGGAUGAUCAGCCACACUGGAAAUGAGACACGGUCCAGACUCCUACGGGAGGCAGCAGUGGGGAAUAGUGGACAAUGGGCGCAAGCCUGAUCCAGCCAUACCGCGUGGGUGAAGAAGGCCUUCGGGUUGUAAAGCCCUUUUGUUGGGAAAGAAAAGCAGCAGGUUAAUACCCCGCUGUUCUGACGGUACCCAAAGAAUAAGCACCGGCUAACUUCGUG